RNAcentral lists this unclassified non-coding RNA (216 nucleotides) under Homo sapiens (human). Its description in RNAcentral is "novel transcript (ENSG00000274039.1)". The record is from RNAcentral. Lineage: Eukaryota; Metazoa; Chordata; Mammalia; Primates; Hominidae.
AAAAAUUCACCCCUGCUUCCACCAGUAGUAGAAUUUGUAGCUAGUGUGUCUGGACCAGGGUGAUACAAGCAUCACAGGAGAGUGGAGAGCUAGUGUUAAAGACAAGUCCCUAAAAUGGGCAGAAGCAGUGGCAGAUCUUGGCAGUUAAGAGCACGGGUUCCCAUGAGUUCUGGAUUUGAAUCCUGGCUGACCACUUGUGAGCUCUACAAUCUCAGG